This 432-nucleotide long non-coding RNA is filed under the name Heterocephalus glaber (naked mole-rat). RNAcentral describes it as "lncRNA (ENSHGLG00000044096.1)". Lineage: Eukaryota; Metazoa; Chordata; Mammalia; Rodentia; Bathyergidae. The record is from RNAcentral.
CAGGUGUCCCAGGGUUCCUUGUGGCCACCAUGGUGGAAGAAAGCGAGCGUUGUUUUCAGCGGGCCGUUCUGAGUGCUGUGGGAGCCAGGCCACCUUGAUGGGCUGACCCAUGACAAAGUAGCACCUGGCCACUGCAAACAAGUGUCGGCGAGACCCCAUUUCUGGGCCAACCCCAGGACAGAGAUUUAAACUGUAACAUGGAAGGUGAGCUGGUCCCAGCACCUGGAAGGAAGCUCCCUCACCACCAUCCCAAGCUCCUAGGGCACAGAAGGUGAGCCACACGGGUGCCAGAAGCAAUCCCCUCCACCCCGUGGAAAUGAGAUGACACAUGAACAAGCCUCAAAAACAGACUUCUGGAUAACCUACAGCAACCCCUAAGGGAAACGAGAUGGAACACUCUGAUACUCAACCACCUGGACUCUCUGAACUGGC